This 495-nucleotide ribosomal RNA is filed under the name uncultured bacterium. RNAcentral's name for it is "partial 16S ribosomal RNA". It matches the Rfam family "Bacterial small subunit ribosomal RNA", at positions 28 to 507 of the family's 1533-position model. The record is from RNAcentral.
GACGAACGCUGGCGGCGUGCCUAAUACAUGCAAGUAGAACGCUGAAGGAGGAGCUUGCUUCUCCGGAUGAGUUGCGAACGGGUGAGUAACGCGUAGGUAACCUGCCUGGUAGCGGGGGAUAACUAUUGGAAACGAUAGCAAUUACCGCAUAACAGUAGAGGUGGCAUAACAUUUGCUUAAAAGGUGCAAUUGCAUAACUACCGGAUGACCCUGCGUUGUAUUAGCUAGUUGGUGAGGUAACGGCUCACCAAGGGGACGAUACAUAGCCGACCUGAGAGGGUGAUCGGCCACACUGGGACUGAGACACGGCCCAGACUCCUACGGGAGGCAGCAGUAGGGAAUCUUCGGCAAUGGACGGAAGUCUGACCGAGCAACGCCGCGUGAGUGAAGAAGGUUUUCGGAUCGUAAAGCUCUGUUGUAAGAGAAGAACGAGUGUGAGAGUGGAAAGUUCACACUGUGACGGUAUCUUACCAGAAAGGGACGGCUAACUACGUG